RNAcentral lists this ribosomal RNA (450 nucleotides) under uncultured bacterium. RNAcentral describes it as "partial 16S ribosomal RNA". It matches the Rfam family "Bacterial small subunit ribosomal RNA", at positions 354 to 796 of the family's 1533-position model. The record is from RNAcentral.
GUGGGGAAUCUUCCGCAAUGGACGAAAGUCUGACGGAGCAACGCCGCGUGAGUGAUGAAGGUCUUCGGAUUGUAAAGCUCUGUUAAUCGGGACGAAAGAGCCUAGUGUGAAUAAUGCUAGGAAGUGACGGUACCGGAAUAGAAAGCCACGGCUAACUACGUGCCAGCAGCCGCGGUAAUACGUAGGUGGCAAGCGUUGUCCGGAAUUAUUGGGCGUAAAGCGCGCGCAGGCGGAUCUGCCAGUCUGUCUUAAAAGUUCGGGGCUUAACCCCGUGAUGGGAUGGAAACUACAGAUCUAGAGUAUCGGAGAGGAAAGUGGAAUUCCAAGUGUAGCGGUGAAAUGCGUAGAGAUUUGGAAGAACACCAGUGGCGAAGGCGACUUUCUGGACGAUGUCUGACGCUGAGGCGCGAAAGCUAGGGGAGCGAACGGGAUUAGAUACCCUUGUAGUCC